AUACCGUCACACCCACUUUCCCCCUAAUUAAUUGUUUCUAAAAAUCUUCAAGAACAAGAAGAAUCAAAUUAUCAAAGAAUGCGGGAAAAGUUCCAUGGAUUGGAUGGUCAUUCACUUCACCAGUCUCUGUUCUUAAGAUGAUGAAUGACUAGUAUGGUUCAGUAGUUCAGGUCAAUCAGCUCAUUAACUUUUAGGCGUCUGUCUUCUCACUAGUGGAAAUUAAUCAUUUUAAAGCUCUUCAAAUCAAAUAAUUUGAAAUCGUAUUAUUCAUUAUUAGUUGCUGUAAAUAAUAAUUAUUAUUGUACUAAUUUGAUCCAUUCUGGUCUAAUUUUGAUAUUAUUCCA
This is a long non-coding RNA of Amphimedon queenslandica, 344 nucleotides long. RefSeq lists it as uncharacterized. The record is from RefSeq and is a predicted model, not a curated record. The transcript has 3 exons. NCBI's taxonomy places the organism in Eukaryota, Metazoa, Porifera, Demospongiae, Haplosclerida, Niphatidae.